RNA transcript from Magnolia sinica, 1604 nucleotides. It is a transcript of the gene named (S)-coclaurine N-methyltransferase-like, with no coding region annotated. The record is from RefSeq and is a predicted model, not a curated record. Lineage: Eukaryota; Viridiplantae; Streptophyta; Magnoliopsida; Magnoliales; Magnoliaceae. The transcript has 9 exons.
UCCAACCAGUGUCAGGGCGUACCUACUACUACCUGCCAGGCAACCGACGGGAGAGGGAGAGAGAGAGAGAGAGAGAGGGAGAGAAUGGAUGCACUGAUUCAAGUCCCGUACAACGCUACCGUGCGCCUGAUGCUAGCAUCACUGGAGCGGAAUCUGCUGCCGGACCUGGUGGUAAGGAAGCUGACGAAGCUCCUAUUAGCAAGCCGCCUCCGUUCCGAGUACCAGCAUUCGUCCCACCUCCAGCUCUCCCGCCUCCUCCAUUUCGCCCACUCUCUUGAACAUAUGCCUAUUGCUGUGGAGACUGAUAAACCAAAAUCCCAACAUUAUGAAUUACCUACCUCCUUUUUCAAGUUAGUGCUAGGAAAGAAUCUCAAGUACAGCUGUUGCUACUUCGUAGAUAAGGCAAACACACUGGAGGAUGCUGAGAAAUUGAUGUUGGAUUUGUACUGUGAGAGGGCACAAAUAAAGGAUGGUCAAACUGUCCUUGAUGUUGGAUGCGGCUGGGGAUCCCUUUCUUUGUACAUUGCACAGAAGUAUAAUAACUGCAGUGUUACAGGGAUCUGCAAUUCCAUGACACAAAAAGAACAUAUAGAGGAGCGUUGUAGGGACCUUCAACUCUCAAAUGUGGAGAUCAUUGUUGCAGAUAUCAGUAAAUUUGAAAUGCAGGCCUCCUUUGAUCGAAUUUUAUCUAUAGAAAUGUUUGAGCACAUGAAGAAUUACAAGGAACUUCUUAGGAAGAUAUCCAAAUGGAUGAAAGAUGAUAGCCUACUUUUCAUUCACUACUUCUGUCACAAAGCAUUUGCUUACCACUUUGAGGACACAAAUGAAGAUGACUGGAUUACAAGAUACUUCUUCACUGGAGGGACGAUGCCUUCCGCAAACUUACUUCUAUAUUUUCAGGAUGAUGUUUCGAUUGUCAAUCAUUGGCUUGUAAAUGGGAUGCAUUAUGCACGCACAAGGAUUUUCUGUGGAUAUGUAUGAUUGCAUGUCAAAAGGAGGCAACAACGUAUCAGUUGCAUUAAAAGCGAUCGACAUAGGUGCGACUGGGUCUGAGUGGCUAAGCAACAAGUAGCCAAUGGCCAAGUUCACAUGAUUUCUGGAGAGGUGUUUGAAGAUCACAGAGAGCAAGAACGUGGGAAGUAUUAGGAAGCAGAGCGAGGGAAGAAACAGUUACAAUAACCGUCAAGACGUGGGAAGCAUCUAGAGCAAUGAAGCAAUGUUGUAAAUAGAAGAUCAAGAAGACCAAAAGACUCAUGAGGUACAAAAUCUGAAGGCUCGAAAGAAGAUGCGGUGGAUGACAAGUCAUGGGCAACUUUAUUAUCUGCAUUCUUCUGUCAUGAGUAAAGCUCGAGAUGGGUUAAAUUGCAGGAAUAGACCCGACUUGUGAAAAAAAGUGGCUAGAUAGAAUGAGCGUAAAGGGGGAGGCAUUGGCAUUGUAUGAGAGUACUAAAAAUCAUCUAUUGUAAGAGUGUUUCCUUCAUCUAAAAAGAAAGGUGUCGAUUUAAAGAACGUAGCAUCGACGCACAUGAUUUGUUUACGAAUAUUGGGAAUGUAACACUUAUAGCCUCUAUAUUUUGGAAUAUACAAGAGAUACUAUUUUAUUA